RNAcentral lists this ribosomal RNA (285 nucleotides) under uncultured Eubacteriales bacterium. RNAcentral describes it as "uncultured Clostridiales bacterium partial 16S ribosomal RNA". It matches the Rfam family "Bacterial small subunit ribosomal RNA", at positions 1101 to 1382 of the family's 1533-position model. Lineage: Bacteria; Bacillati; Bacillota; Clostridia; Eubacteriales. The record is from RNAcentral.
AACCUUGUCAUUAGUUGCCAGCAGUUCGGACUUGGGCACUCUAGUGAGACUGCCGGGGAUAACUCGGAGGAAGGUGGGGAGUGACGUCAAAUCAUCAUGCCCCUUAUGUUCUGGGCUACACACGUGCUACAAUGGCUGGUACAAAGAGAAGCAAGACGGUGACGUGGAGCAAAUACUCAAAAAACCAGUCCCAGUUCGGAUUGUAGGCUGCAACUCGCCUACAUGAAGUUGGAGUUGCUAGUAAUCGCGAAUCAGAAUGUCGCGGUGAAUGCGUUCCCGGGUCUU